RNAcentral lists this unclassified non-coding RNA (248 nucleotides) under uncultured fungus. RNAcentral describes it as "partial contains 5.8S ribosomal RNA, internal transcribed spacer 2, and large subunit ribosomal RNA". Lineage: Eukaryota; Fungi. The record is from RNAcentral.
AACGCAUAUUGCGCCCCUUGGUAUUCCGGGGGGCACACCUGUUCGAGCGCCAUUUCGACCCUCAAGCAAAUCUUGGUGUUGGGUGAGGCCCUAAAAAUUAGGACCAUCCCGUAACUCGUAGGCGGUCAUCAUCCGCACCCCCGGCGUAGCAGGCUAACGCACUCGCUUUGGGGACUGAUGGUGUUGUUGCCCACUGAAUUUUACAAAGGUUUGGCCUCGGAUCAGGUGGGGAUACCCGCUGAACUUAA